Molecule: non-coding RNA, 384 nt
Organism: Opisthocomus hoazin
Lineage: Eukaryota; Metazoa; Chordata; Aves; Opisthocomiformes; Opisthocomidae
Source: RefSeq, a predicted model, not a curated record
GGGAUGCCGUCGCAGCCCACCUCGCUGCACUACGCAAGCCCCUACCAGCUGAGCGCCUACGCCCUGGCGCUGAAGGCGGUGGGGGAGGUCAUCCAGGACUACGACAGUGACAAGCUCUUCCCCGCCUACGGCUUCGGUGCCAAACUCCCGCCCGACGGCAAGAUCUCCCACCAGUUCCCCCUGAACAACAACGCGGACAACCCCAGCUGCGCCGGCAUCGAGGGCGUGCUGGAGUCCUACCUCCAGAGCCUGCGCACCGUCCAGCUCUACGGUCCCACCAACUUCGCCCCCGUCAUCAACCAGGUGGCUGGGGCGGCCGCCCAGGUGACGGAUGGCUCGCAGUACCACGUCCUCCUCAUCAUCACCGACGGCGUCAUCCCCGAC